CCUACGGGUGGCAGCAGUGGGGAAUAUUGGGCAAUGGGCGCAAGCCUGACCCAGCAACGCCGCGUGAAGGAAGAAGGCUUUCGGGUUGUAAACUUCUUUUAUCAGGGACGAAGGAAGUGACGGUACCUGCUGUAUAAGCCACGGCUAACUACGUGCCAGCCGCCGCGGUACUACGUAGGGGGCAAGCGUUAUCCGGAUUUACUGGGUGUAAAGGGCGUGUAGGCGGGAGUGCAAGUCAGAUGUGAAAACUCUGGGCUCAACCCAUAGCCUGCAUUUGAUACUGGACUUCUUGAGUGCUGUAGAGGCGAGCGGAAUGCCAGGUGUAGCGGUGAAAUGCGUAGAUAUACGGAGGAACACCAGUGGCGAAGGCGGAUUGCUGGAC
RNAcentral lists this ribosomal RNA (382 nucleotides) under uncultured bacterium. RNAcentral describes it as "partial 16S ribosomal RNA". It matches the Rfam family "Bacterial small subunit ribosomal RNA", at positions 338 to 734 of the family's 1533-position model. The record is from RNAcentral.